GAUGUGGUUUAAUUCGAUGCAACGCGAAAAACCUUACCCACCUUUGACAUGGCAGGAAUCCUGAAGAGAUUCGGGAGUGCUCGAAAGAGAACCUGCACACAGGUGCUGCAUGGCUGUCGUCAGCUCGUGUCGUGAGAUGUUGGGUUAAGUCCCGCAACGAGCGCAACCCUUGCCAUUAGUUGCUACGAAAGGGCACUCUAAUGGGACUGCCGGUGACAAACCGGAGGAAGGUGGGGAUGACGUCAAGUCCUCAUGGCCCUUAUAGGUGGGGCUACACACGUCAUACAAUGGCCGGUACAGAGGGUAGCCAACCCGCGAGGGGGAGCCAAUCCCGCAAAGCCGGUCGUAGUCCGGAUCGCAGUCUGCAACUCGACUGCGUGAAGUCGGAAUCGCUAGUAAUCGCGGAUCAGAAUGUCGCGGUGAAUACGUUCCCGGGUCUUGUACACACCGCCCGUCACACCAUGGGAGCGGGUUCUGCCAGAAGUAGUUAGCCUAACCGCAAGGAGGGCGAUUACCACGGCAGGGUUCGUGACUGGGGUGAAGUCGUAACAAGGUAGCCG
This 560-nucleotide ribosomal RNA is filed under the name uncultured bacterium. Its description in RNAcentral is "bacterial SSU rRNA". It matches the Rfam family "Bacterial small subunit ribosomal RNA", at positions 938 to 1502 of the family's 1533-position model. The record is from RNAcentral.